GACGAACGCUGGCGGCGUGCUUAACACAUGCAAGUCGAACGGAAAGGCCCUGCUUUUGUGGGGUGCUCGAGUGGCGAACGGGUGAGUAACACUUGAGUAACCUGCCCUUGACUUUGGGAUAACUUCAUGAAACUGGGGCUAAUACCGGAUAGGAGCUCCUGCUGCAUGGUGGGGGUUGGAAAGUUUCGGCGGUUGGGGAUGGACUCGCGGCUUAUCAGCUUGUUGGUGGGGUAGUGGCUUACCAAGGCUUUGACGGGUAGCCGGCCUGAGAGGGUGACCGGCCAAAUUGGGACUGAGAUACGGCCCAGACUCCUACGGGAGGCAGCAGUGGGGAAUAUUGCACAAUGGGCGGAAGCCUGAUGCAGCAACGCCGCGUGCGGGAUGACGGCCUUCGGGUUGUAAACCGCUUUCGCCUGUGACGAAGCGUGAGUGACGGUAAUGGGUAAAGAAGCACCGGCUAACUACGUG
This 468-nucleotide ribosomal RNA is filed under the name uncultured bacterium. Its description in RNAcentral is "partial 16S ribosomal RNA". It matches the Rfam family "Bacterial small subunit ribosomal RNA", at positions 28 to 507 of the family's 1533-position model. The record is from RNAcentral.